ACUCAAAGGAAUUGACGGGGGCCCGCACAAGCGGUGGAGCAUGUGGUUUAAUUCGACGCAACGCGAAGAACCUUACCUGGGCUCGAACGGCUUCUCAACAGCAGUGGAAACAUUGUCAUCCCCUUAAAAGGAGUGGAGUCGAGGUGCUGCAUGGCUGUCGUCAGCUCGUGUCGUGAGAUGUUGGGUUAAGUCCCGCAACGAGCGCAACCCUUGUCCUGUGUUGCUAAUCCGCAAGGAUGCACUCUCAGGAGACCGCCAGCGAUAAGUUGGAGGAAGGUGGGGAUGACGUCAAGUCAUCAUGGCCUUUAUGUCCAGGGCUACACACGUGCUACAAUGGACGGUACAAAGCGCGGCAAACCGGCGACGGGGAGCUAAUCGCAGAAAACCGUUCUCAGUUCGGAUUGCAGGCUGCAACUCGCCUGCAUGAAGCUGGAAUCGCUAGUAAUGGCAUAUCAGAACGAUGCCGUGAAUACGUUCCCGGGCCUUGUACACACCGCCCGU
RNAcentral lists this ribosomal RNA (501 nucleotides) under uncultured bacterium. RNAcentral's name for it is "partial 16S ribosomal RNA". It matches the Rfam family "Bacterial small subunit ribosomal RNA", at positions 899 to 1397 of the family's 1533-position model. The record is from RNAcentral.